Molecule: long non-coding RNA, 1567 nt
Organism: Lotus japonicus
Lineage: Eukaryota; Viridiplantae; Streptophyta; Magnoliopsida; Fabales; Fabaceae
Exons: 4
Source: RefSeq, a predicted model, not a curated record
UGUGAACCUCCUUUUCACUGUAGCUAAAAGACCUCCAAUGGAGUAGCGACACCUGUCAUGCUCUCUGACCUUUUUUUAUUUUUUUUUCACUCUGAAAGUUGAAAACGACGCCGUUUCCGCUUCAGCACUGUUUCUCUCCAAUCUCUCAUCAACCCUAGCUGGCAAUCGCGUGUUUCCUCUCCUUUCUACCCACUCUGCCGUACAAUUCAUCAUCUUUCGUUUCUCUUCCGCCUCCAAUCUCCCUUCAACCCUAGCUGGCAAUCACGUCACCUUGACCAGAAGAUCUGCUUUCCACGAUCUGCGGCUUCUUCUCAUGGCUUCUCCGGUGCUGGCUUUCACGUCAAUCCUUCAACCAAUACGUGGGGUGAGAAGAUUGAAGCAAAUGUGCAGCAAUCAAUGAUACUAAAAUUAUGUAGUUGCUUCCUGGAACAUGUAUUCAAUUGAUCUUGGUUGGAGUAACUAAACUUGAUUUUAAUCACUUCCUUUGAGUUGUUAUUACUGUUGAUUUUGAAUACUGGAAGCAUGUAGUUUCCAAGUCUUAUCUAAAUGGGAUGGGAAUUCAAUAGUCCAAUAUGUGGGAUGUUAUGGAUAUGAGAUCGAUCCAUGGAGGGUUUGCUGCAACUUUGAAGGAUUUGAAAGUUUGGGUAAUGAAUGUGGUUACAAUAGAUACACUUCCUAUUAAUUAUGAACGAGAUCCUAUGAAUCUACAAUACAUGCUUUGUACCAGUUCUAUGUAUCAUCUUUGGAAAGUUUUGGUGCACACAUCUUAGCGUAAGAUCCAUAUUCUGCUCAUAAUUAAGAAUUGAUUGGCUCUAUUAACACAAAUACUGUGGGAUGCAUCUUGAAAUUGAAUGGAAGGUAGUUAUAAUUCUGUCAUUGCUUUAUUAAGUGCAAAAUUAAUUUUAUUUGAAUCUUCCACAACUAGGAGUACUAUCAUUCUAGGGAUAAACAAGAAUGAGUUGCUAAUAAGUACAUGCUGCAUCUUAUAUCGCAGAAAACAACCAGACUAUCUUAUUCCUUUGCAGAAGGAUGGAAGAAUGUCAUCGCUUCACAUUAUGGUUAUUAGUGGUCCGUAAAUAUUGAUGUAGAGAGCUUGCCAUGGGUUCCUCACACUGAGGGUUGAUUUUGCUGAUGAGAGAACUCUGCCAUAAUUGACUUUGACAGACAUCAGAGAGACUUUCAAGAGGCUUGUGGCUGAAUUGAAGAAGACCCAUAAAGAAAUCUUGGAUGCUAUGAAGAACCAAACUGUAGAUUUGGUCUCAACUAGUCACCCUACUCAGUCUGUCAGUAGAUCUUUACUGCAAUAGCAUGGAAGGUCUGUCCAUGGCUUUACUUUCCUGUCAUAACUAAGGAGGACUUAUGUAGUUCAUUUGUUGUAGAAGUUUCUUUUUGGAAGAAGAAAUUCAAAUAGGAAAAGAAAAAAAAACAAAGUUACCUCUAGGAGUUCCCAUAAGGGAAGUUCCCUUCCACAUCCUAUCAUUUAGAUUCAUUGGAAACUGGAAAUGCAUGUCUUGUAUAAACAAGAAAUGUUAAUAUUGUUUCUGGAAUUGUGACAAUUAUAGAAUAA